CGGGGUGUAGCUCAGCUUGGUAGAGCNAGAGCGCUACGUUCGGGACGUAGAGGUCGCAUGUUCGAAUCAUGUCUCCCCGACCA
RNAcentral lists this transfer RNA (83 nucleotides) under Lysobacterales bacterium. Its description in RNAcentral is "tRNA-Pro". It matches the Rfam family "tRNA". From Rfam's summary of the family: Transfer RNA (tRNA) molecules are approximately 80 nucleotides in length. Their secondary structure includes four short double-helical elements and three loops (D, anti-codon, and T loops). Further hydrogen bonds mediate the characteristic L-shaped molecular structure. tRNAs have two regions of fundamental functional importance: the anti-codon, which is responsible for specific mRNA codon recognition, and the 3' end, to which the tRNAs corresponding amino acid is attached (by aminoacyl-tRNA synthetases). tRNAs cope with the degeneracy of the genetic code in two manners: having more than one tRNA (with a specific anti-codon) for a particular amino acid; and 'wobble' base-pairing, i.e. permitting non-standard base-pairing at the 3rd anti-codon position. The record is from RNAcentral. Lineage: Bacteria; Pseudomonadati; Pseudomonadota; Gammaproteobacteria; Lysobacterales.